AGUUCGGCUGGCUUCCACCACAGGUGCUGCAUGGCUGUCGUCAGCUCGUGUCGUGAGAUGUUGGGUUAAGUCCCGCAACGAGCGCAACCCUCAUCCUCAGUUGCCAUCAGGUUAAGCUGGGCACUCUGAGGAAACUGCCUGUGACAAGCAGGAGGAAGGUGGGGAUGACGUCAAGUCCUCAUGGCCCUUAUGGGCUGGGCUACACACGUGCUACAAUGGCGGUGACAGAGGGAUGCAAUACCGCGAGGUGGAGCAAAUCCCUAAAAGCCGUCUCAGUUCGGAUUGUUCUCUGCAACUCGAGAGCAUGAAGUUGGAAUCGCUAGUAAUCGCGGAUCAGCUCGCCGCGGUGAAUACGUUCCCGGGCCUU
Molecule: ribosomal RNA, 367 nt
Filed under: uncultured Alphaproteobacteria bacterium
Lineage: Bacteria; Pseudomonadati; Pseudomonadota; Alphaproteobacteria
Description: bacterial SSU rRNA
Rfam family: Bacterial small subunit ribosomal RNA
Source: RNAcentral